RNAcentral lists this ribosomal RNA (498 nucleotides) under uncultured bacterium. RNAcentral describes it as "partial 16S ribosomal RNA". It matches the Rfam family "Bacterial small subunit ribosomal RNA", at positions 30 to 523 of the family's 1533-position model. The record is from RNAcentral.
AUUGAACGCUGGCGGCAUGCCUUACACAUGCAAGUCGAACGGUAACAGGUCUUCGGAUGCUGACGAGUGGCGAACGGGUGAGUAAUACAUCGGAACGUGCCUAGUAGUGGGGGAUAACUACUCGAAAGAGUGGCUAAUACCGCAUGAGAUCUACGGAUGAAAGCAGGGGAUCGCAAGACCUUGUGCUACUAGAGCGGCCGAUGGCAGAUUAGGUAGUUGGUGGGAUAAAAGCUUACCAAGCCGACGAUCUGUAGCUGGUCUGAGAGGACGAUCAGGCACACUGGGACUGGGACACGGCCCAGACUCCUACGGGAGGCAGCAGUGGGGAAUUUUGGACAAUGGGCGAAAGCCUGAUCCAGCAAUGCCGCGUGCAGGAUGAAGGCCUUAGGGUUGUAAACUGCUUUUGUACGGAACGAAAAGCCCCGGGUUAAUACCCUGGGGUCAUGACGGUACCGUAAGAAUAAGCACCGGCUAACUACGUGCCAGCAGCAGCCGCCG